Cricetulus griseus (Chinese hamster) is the source of this 109-nucleotide small nuclear RNA. The record is from Ensembl. Lineage: Eukaryota; Metazoa; Chordata; Mammalia; Rodentia; Cricetidae.
GUGCUCACUUCAUCCAGCUGCACUUGUUUUAAAAUUGGGAUGAUACAGAGAUUAGCAUGGCCCCUUGCACAAGAGUGACAUGCCAAUUUAUAAAGCAGUCAAUAUUUUU